AACGAACGCUGGCGGCAUGCCUAACACAUGCAAGUCGAACGAGACCUUCGUGACUAGUGGCGCACGGGUGCGUCACGCGUGGGACCCUGCCCUUAUGUUCCGAAUAACUCUCUGACGGGGGUGCUAAUGCCGGGUAAUUUCUUCGGACACAAGAUUUAUCGCAUUUGUAUGGGCCCGCGUUGGUUGAGCCUGUUGGUAUGGUAAAAGCCUAUCACGGCGUCGCUACUUAGCUGGUCAGAGAGGAAGAGCAGCCACACUUGGACUGGGACACGGCCCAGACUCCUACGGGAGGGAGCAGUGGGGAAUACAGGGCAAUCGGGUAAGGCCUGAUCCAGCAAGGCUGCGAGAGUGAUGAAGGUCUGAGGGUUGUAAAGCACUUUUAUCCGGGAUGAUAAUGACAGUACCGGGAGAAUAAGCUCCGGCUAACUCCGUG
This 433-nucleotide ribosomal RNA is filed under the name uncultured bacterium. Its description in RNAcentral is "partial 16S ribosomal RNA". It matches the Rfam family "Bacterial small subunit ribosomal RNA", at positions 29 to 507 of the family's 1533-position model. The record is from RNAcentral.